This 27488-nucleotide long non-coding RNA is filed under the name Musa acuminata (dwarf banana). Lineage: Eukaryota; Viridiplantae; Streptophyta; Magnoliopsida; Zingiberales; Musaceae. The record is from RNAcentral.
UGAAUGUGUAGCUGAUUGACUAGAAAAUCUAAGUAAUACAGAAACAAGUUAUUGACCUCUCUUGUUAUCUAAAGAAACAUUUCUUUCCCUUUGCAACUUCCCGACACCAAUCUGUGCAAUGUCACCUUGCCAGAGAGCAAAUAUUUCUCCAAAUGAUGCACAGUGCCAAACAAAACUCUUCAAGCAUUCAAGGAAAGACAUGAGAACAUCAGAUAGCAGCAUCUGCCAUCACCAGUCCUGGCUAACCUCAAUGUUCUACAAGGAGCAUUUUUCACUCUAAAAGCAUGAUACGCUCUAUUGCUGCAGGUAGCAGUUGCAGAAAUCUGUAAAUACCCAAGAAAAAUUCACAAUAUAAAAUCAUUUGUUAGACAUGCAGUAGUAAAUGUUGAUUAAUCUUAUCUAUGCACACUGUUUCUCUUUGUUUCCAACAGAUGACAUUAGAUGAAUCUGAAACAUCCUUGUUUUUAGUGUGUUCUUCCUCAAAAAACUAGAACGAUUGAAAUGCAUUCAGCACAGUUAUUUUCUCCCAAGCAAAUAUUAUUUUGCUGAAAUAUCUGCUAUAUUGUCUCAGUAAGAAAAAUCAAACUCCCAACAAGAAAUCUAAUCAAACAAAACAAAAACAACGAAAUCAAACACUACAAUGACUGAUAGCGGAAGAAAGCCAGAAGGCAUAGAUAGUGGUGCUCAUAUUCUAUGGGUGUUAGAAGAGUCUGUCAUGCCGAUUCUACAGCAUUCAGAACGAGGAAUUUUUUUAUAAUCACAGCACCAAGAAUCUGCACACCGAAAUACAACAGAUAUCAAAACUCCCACCUAAACCAUAUAACUCAUCAAAGAUCUUCCUUUUAUGACAACUACCACAUCCUCUAUGGAUCCCCAUGUCAAAGACAUACUUAGAAUCAAGAAAUGGAUUCUAUAAGCACGGCCAUACCAGUAAUUAAAAAUAUCAAAUAAAAUCCGAAUAAAAUUAUUGGCGAGCGUAACCCAAGAACCGAUCUUUAUCGAUAAAUUCUGAGCAAACAAUGUCUGAUAUAUACGGAAAGAUAGAAGGCAGAGAGGUGCUCAUAUUCUAUGGGUGUUAGAAGAGUCUGUCAUGCCGAUUCUACAGCAUUCAGAACGAGGAAUUUUUUAUAAUCACAGCACCAAGAAUCAGAGUACCAAAUUACCACAGUAAUGAAGGACUCCUAUCUCGAUCAUAUAAUUCCCCAAGGAUCUUCCUUUCACGUCAACUACAUUAUCCUAUAGAGAUCCCCGAAUAAAAGAUAUAUUAGAAUCACGAAACGAAAUCGAUAGUCACGGCCAUACUAGUUCUUGAAGAAAAAAAUAAAACAAAAUCCCUAAAAAUUCAUUGGCGAGAGCAACCAAAGAAACGAUCUUUAUCGACAAUCUUUGGGGAAACAAUGAGAUCUAUAAUCACGGCGAUAAUUCGUGAAGGAGAAGAAGAAAAGGAAAUCAUAUAGAGACAUAAAAAUUUAGAGGCGGGCGUAACCCAAAAACCAAUCUUGAUCAGUGAGUUUAGGGCUUUAAACGCCUCCGAUCCAUAUGGGAGCCGAAGGACAAGCCGGCGCCAUCGAUCUCAGAAGCGAUGAGCGGACUGACAAGGCAACGACUCCCGUAGAAGUAAUCCAAAGACAAAAAGCGAAGAAAUUUCUGAAGAAGCAUUGCAUAUUGAAGAAGUGAAAACGACGGCGCCUGCGCUCACCAAAGGCGCAGACCGAUCGAUUUGGUUGCAGUGGCGUAGAUCUCGUCCUUUAUAUAGGCAAAACGUAACCCUAGAUUCUAUUCGACAGGUGUCCAUCUAUUAUUGGUUGAAUCGGCAUCUCUUAGUUGGGCUGGGAAAACCUUCCAUGGCCUGCAAUGUUGGGCUCAGUGAUGGGGAUGGCAACGAGGGUUCAGGUGGCAGUUGAAACCACCUCAACGUUAGGGUUUACGAUUGCAUGAGGUUUUUCUCCUAAGAUUUAACCAUAGAAAUCUCUUUUAUAUAUAUAUAUAUAUAUAUAGUUUUAUUUAAAUAUUUUAAGAUUAAGAUCCAUUUUAAUCCUUUUCAUUUUGAUCUUGAUUUGAUCGUAUAUAAAAUAACAUUUAUAUUUUAAAAAACAUAGCAUAUUAGUUCCUUCUAUCAAGUUUGAGUUAAAAGACGUUAGAGCGUACUUGCAUGGUAUGCCAACUCAUAAUAAAUAAUUAAUAUAAUAACAUAUAUGAUUUAAAUUUUAAAAAAAAGUUAAGAUCUAUUUUAGCCCAUGUAGUCUUGGCCUUGAACUACUUAAAUCCUUAUGGUUUAUUCAUGUCUAUAAUAACCCCUAUAUUUUUAAAAAUAUAGCAUAUAAGUCCCUCUCGUUAAGUUUGAGUUAACAGAUGUUAAAAUUUACUUAAGUGAUAUGUUGACUCACAAUAAACUAUUAAUAUAAUGAUACAUGUAAUUUAAGUUUAAAAAAAAACCAAGAUCAUCAUCAAUGACAAGAGGAUGCAUUAUCUUGAAAGCGACCACUAGUAGCAGCAUCGAGCCGCUGUUGCCUAGCAGGCGUCGUACACAUGCAUCCUCUCCCGCACUAACAACUAGCUUAGGAGUUUCCGAUCCUAUCUUAGGUGGAUGUGCGUUGACCAGUUCGACACUAAGCACAUAGUGAUCUCCUAAUUCAUCUUUCUCCUCCUGGGCGUCUUCGUCUCCACCGCCUUCCACUUCGUCUUCUCUUGUGCCCCCACCUGCUAUGCCUAUGACGUGGUGAUCUAACUUUUCCUCACAUUCAUCUUCGACCUCUCCUAUAUCUAUCUCUUUACGUUCGUCCAUCGUUAUAACCUUCGUCGCUUCCUCUUCCUCGACAAGAUAGAUCUUAAUACUUUUUUAAACUUAAAUUAUAUAUGUUAUUAUAUUAAUAAUUUUAUUAUGAAUUAGCAUGACAUAUAAACAAACUCUAAUGUUUGUUAACUUACACUUGAUGAGAUAGACUUACAUACUACGUUUUUGAAAAUGUAUGAGUUAUUUAGAUAUAAGUACACUAUAAGGGUUUAAUUGGUCUAUGAUCAAAAUCACAUAAGCUAAAAUAGACCUUAGUUCUUUUUAAAAUUUUAAUUAUAUAUAUUAUUAUAUUAAUAAUUUAUUGUCAGUCGGCUUGCCAAACAAAGAGACUCUAACACAUGUUAACUCAAAUUUGAUGGGAUAGACUUAUAUGUUAUAUUUUUUAAAAUAUAUAAGUUAUUUUAGAUACGAGUAAACCAUAAGAGUUUAGGUUGUCUAUGACCAAAAUCACAUUGACUAAAAUAUAUAUAAAUCUAAUUUCAAAGAUAACGCGCUAAUAGAUUUAGAAUCCUAAACACUUUUUGUCUUCAUCAGGCCAGACAAAAUUAGCUGACUUAGUUGACUAAUUAGGCCUUCACGUAUUGAUCAAAUUCCCAAGAUGAGAAAAUUGAUGUGUCAUUAAUUUAUCACAUAAAUUAUUUUGGUGAGGAAAAGAUGAGAUUCCACAUGAGAUUGUUAAGGAAAUUGCUUGAGUUAGACUUCCAGAUAGGCUGCUGUGGAAACCAACAUCACAACUCAUUAAGAAAGUUCAAUACUUUGACACGGUUAUUUGUCUUGAUCACAGAUCAAUUUCCACUUCUUCUAGUCGAUGUUGAUCUCCUUAUUUCUCUAUAGUUUCUUGAGCAAAUCUAUAUGAACAUGCUUGCUUGACUGGAUUGCAUCAGGUUGUAAUCUAUUAAUGCUGCACUUGCCGUCCUCCAUUAAAAUAGUUGCCGGAGAAGUUUGUUUGUUUCCAUGGCUAAUCCGAGUUUGGCUGCUGACACACAUCUCUGCAGCACCAACGAUGUUUAAUGCUCUGUACUUUUGUUCGACCUGUGAGCAUGAAUCAGAUGAAGUAAUUUGGCUCUCUUUUUGUUCAGCAUUUAUGAUCACAAACAACUGGCGGAUGCACGGAUGCAGCAUUCACUUCACCGCGUUCUUCCCAUUAAUCAACAGAAGAUUAAUGCAUUUUAAUUGAGACACAUUCUACUAUUAUUCUCAGAGACUCGGUCAAACCCUCCAUUCAACCUUCUCUCGAUCAAGUCUUCCCUUGGCUUGUCAGGAGUCACAUUUCCACCGGACAAAGCAAUCCACAAACGAAGACUUACACUAUAUGUGCGGUCUUCCAUCUCACUUUCAGUGCCGAACAAAUUCCUCCUCCAUCUUCUCUCCCUCAUGCUUUCCAUUGUCGAAUUCUCAAAGCCAUAGAGACCGGUAGAGAAAAUAGUGCAUGAAAAGCUCCUCUAUAAGUGCACCACUUCUCCUCCUGUAACCCAACACCGGAGCAAGAAGACCAUGAGCCUCCACAAGUCCCACUCCCUGGUGAACAUCCCCUUCUCGUGGGAGAACCAGCCGGGGAUCUCCAAGAUCACUCCACAUGCAGAGGAGAGCUCUGCACAAGAACAUGUCAGGCUGCCGCCGCCGCCGUGCCAAUCCGAUAGCCCGAAGCUGUCGGUGCACGGCAUAUACGUGCCUCUUCCGCCCUGCGCUUUCCAGCCGCCUCCGCGACAGGUUCUGACGAAGAAGGAGGAGGGGGAAGACCCCUUCCUUGCAGCCUACAGGGAGUGCACCAGGAGCAGGAAACAGGGGACGGCAGCCACGGAGAGGAAGAGAGAUGUUUGGGCUGUGCUCGAGAGGUUUGGGCUUGGGUUGUCUUGCAGGAGCAGCUCUGGGGUCAGGGAGGGUGCCAUACUGAGGUUGAAGGAGCAAAAAAGGGUUCUUGCCACCUCCAAGGGGAAGAAUUACAUCUUUUGAUCCCUUGCAACACUAGUCUUUUUCUUGAUACAAAAUACAGGCAACAAUUACAUCUUCAAGGAGUUGUGAUCAUGUGAGAUUACAAUGAUAUUUUUACAAAUGGAUAUUUGAUGAAGAACUAACUGUAUGAGUAAAUAUUUGAUGAAGUGCAAUCCAAAGAACAAAAAGGAAGAAAUGUGGUUUUCUUUCUUUGUUGGCUACAAAUGAAUGCCUUGAAUAGUUUUUUUCUGGUCCAAGUCAAAUCUUCACUUGUUUUAGUUUCUAAAGUGUGAUUUGGUGUGUUAAUUUAGUUUCUUGGAUUCUGAGUGGAUACCAAAUUAUAAGAUGCACUAAUGACAUUUUGUCUAUUAGUUUGUGUUGGGCUACCACCUCAACUGUCUUCUGAGACUGAUGCUUUGUAUACAUAUAUGGAAGCACACACAUCCAAAGGAACAGACAAAUAGGAAGGCCCCAUAUGUCGCCUUCCCUCUAUAAAAAAUAAAGAAGAGUCAUUUGUUCUUCACAAGUGCACAAACUAUAAUUCCUGAUGCUAUUAUUGUAUUCCCCAACAACAGUCAUUUGUUCCUCACUGCAUGCAUGAACUUUGAUCCAUGAAGUUUGGUGCAGCAUUUUAGAGUUUGAGUUGAAAAGAUGUCAAUGGCUCAGAGGCUAAGAUGUUGCAGAAUUCUGAUGUCUCAUGUAUGUAUCAGAAUGAAUCCUCAGGUGUACCUUCUGGUUUUGUUCCGACUUCUCUCAUCCAAAGAUGUCUUCUUCUUCGCCACAAGAAACAAAUAGCCCAUGGUAAGAUCUUGCAGAACACCCAUGUCUCUCUUCCUCCUCCGUAACAUCCACCGGAAAACAAUAACUCAGGCCAACAUCAUGUAGAAUACUAAUGUCUCGUGUACCUGACUGAAUCUUGAAAGCCAGUAAGCAAAGAAGUCUGAUGGCUUUUCACUUUCACCGAACUGGAAAUGGAGACGAGAUGAGAUGAGAUUCGAGAGUCGAGGGCGCAGAUUUCACAAGCUCGAAUCAUAGGGAACUCUUCCGUGGCACAACAGCGGCAACACAAUCGCUUUAAUCAUGUAUUUUAGACUGGUCUAAGGGAUCAACAUCAUCGUGCAUCCUUCUUCGAUCGUCUGUAAUUAAUAUGCACAUGGUUUGAUAGAACCGUGGACCAUGACAUGUCCAAAUAACUCUGUUACGCUGGACCAUCGCACCUCCAAAUAACUCUGUUCCACCUACCAGCCAUUGCAGCAGCAGCAGUACAACAUGGCUCUCUCGAGUGGAAACUCCCAUGUCUCUGCCAUCCUCUGCCCUAAGCAUCACUCAUCAGCAACCCCUCUCUCUCUCUCUCUCUCUCUCUUCUCUACAUGCUGGACGAAAUGCGAAUUGCACAUCAAAUCAUUCUGCAAUUUCGAGUCACUUAAAUUCCAUUAUGUGGUCCUUAAUACCGCCAAUUACGCCUUGAAUUGCCAUCACAUUCUGACAUGCUUGUGAUGAACUGUAACACCACCAAGUUUUUCUGAUGCUUAUCGCAUAAAUCUUCAAUCGUAACCAAAAGUACAUGACACUUAUUCUUCUUAGACUCAGCAUACAAUAACCUUAAACAGGUAUUACAAUAGACUAGUAAUCCAUCAUUGGUUCUGAAGCAAUCCAGUAGACUGCAAGCGAGCAGCUGAUGAAGCAAGGAUUUGUGUCUUCCUGUGGCGUGCAUUAUGUUCAGAGAUUUGCUACUGUAAGCGAGUAAAUUUCACAUGGCGCUGAUGAAUAGAAUCAACAUCUUUCCAAGGUGGAGUGACGAUGAAGAACAUCGAGCACAGCUUCUUCGCUGAUCUCCUCAAAGAUGAUCUGUUCGAUCUCAGCCCCAACCUCUCCUAUCUCAUGCCGAAAGUGGCUCCAUUCUUUCCUGGACUCGGAGAAAUCGACAUCUAUCAACUGGGAUAUAUUGGCCAAAGCACAUCCUCGACUCUCCCGUGACAGGAUCAUCAUCCCCUCCUCGGUGAUCUUCCCACUCCUCUCUGGACUUGGGCAUUCGUGAGAUUUUGAGAGCCUUCCUUCUACCUCCUUCAGCCAGUCUGACAGAAAACGGUGUGGGUGAAGGAACUGGGUCCUUGUGUUGGGGUGCUCUUCCAAGCCGAUCCAUGGAGCUUCCUUUGUGUCCUUGGGUGAAUCAAAACCUGAGGUUGAUGGCACCUCUUCCUCAACUGCAAACGAAGAACACAAGGGAGAAGCAUAUCAUUCGGUGAAACAAAAGAGACAAAUGUACCUAAAAUCCACAUGGAAGUAAUCAGACAAGACAGACAAAGAUCAAUGCUGCGUGCAAAGAGGAGGAGAAACAACCUUCAUCAGAAUGCAGCUCGAGGACUGACACAGGGCUGCGCUGAUCGGAGCCGCCCAUAGCUCUCCACUGCUCCUCUCUGUCCGGAUCACCUUCGUCGGUGCCACAGGAACAAGACAGCCGGCGGAACUCCACAGCAUUGUUCUUGCCCUUCAUCUCGAAGAACGAUCUCAAGACAUUCCAUCUUCCGAUGCCAAUAGCUCCACCAUCCCACCUCCAAGCUUUCCUGAUCACCUUGCCGUAGACAACUUUGUUCAGCAGACACCUCAGAAGUCCGGUUCUCUUCCUCCUGCAGCCAUGGGUGCUGAACCUUCUCAGCCGCCUACAAGCACCGCCAUGCCAGCACAUGAAUGCAGCAGCACUGGGAUUCAUUGCUCUAUCCGAGUACCCAUGCUCCAAGAGGUAGACAUCCAGAAGAAAAGGCUCUUGUUGCUCUUCCAGCAGCUCAAAGAGCCUCCUACCAUGAAGCAUUGGCUUGGGAACAGAAGCCAUUCGUCUCCAGACUCCAGACUCCAGACUCCAAGGAAGAAGAGAGGAAUGGCCUAAAUAUCAAAAGGGAAGACGAAGAUGGAUGGAGAAGAAGAAGAAGAAGAAGCAGAUGCCCAUUCCCUGCAAAUGUAUGCGAAGUAAGAACCCAGCCAAACCCGGAAGGAAGGAGUCACAAGCCUUUAAUCUGGACAUUCCGCACUGAGCCCUGAAACAAAAACAUCAUUCUCUGCACUGAAAACCAGCUCACAGGCGGUGAUUGGAAGGCUGAUGCUCUGAUGAAACAUGCAAUGACCAAAUGCCCAAAACCUGGCCAAAAGAGAGUUUUGGCAAGUAUCCAGUCGUCCCCACUUGGUUGUUGGGUAGUAGGAGCAACCAUGUGUCCAUGACAAGAGGGAGUGGCAGUAGAAAAGAUUGAACUGAUUUGUUGUUGGGAUUUGUGUCUGGUGGUAAUGGUGGCUUGGCUUCUACUCUCAAAGCAGUACGACGCAUGUCAUGGGUGGGUGGGUUGUGUCUACCAUUAUGGAAGAGGAAGUCUUCAGGGUUUCAAAGCCAUCUUCUUCUUCUUCCCCAGAGUCCAAACACUGUUUCUACCUUUCAACCUCGAGUCCAAGAACAUCUGCACCUUUUCCCGCGAACAAUCACUCCCACCUCUCUUUAAAUAUACUUAGUCUUAGCUACAGUAAUAGUGACACAUGUACAUGAAAAGGUGAUGAAAAAAGCUAAAGAGAACAACUGCUUGGGAUGGAACACCAUCUCCUAAAGUGGCCAACAGAUCAACCAAUUAAAUAUACCUUAAAUCUGCACUCCUGACAAAGUCAAUGAUGAUGAGAGUUGUGAAAGAUUUCUUUGUUAGAUUGACUCCCUUGAAUCAUGUUAUCUCUUGAUUGAUGCAAGUCUUGCACUCUGAUAUGAGGCUUAUUUUCUGUUUGGCAUCAUGUCCACCACCAGCAGACCAUCACAAAUCCACAUAAACUGUUCAUCAAAGCAAGUCCUUGCUAAUUAAUGCUGCUAAGCUGAUUGCUUUGCCCCCUCAAGAACAUCUGGGUGGGCUAUGCCACCAUGUAGCUAUUGUUUUCUUUUAAUCAUUUAGCAGACACAUGGAAUUAGAGCUGACAUGCAACUCCCUGUACAUUACCAGGAAUCCAUUUAGGAAUAUAUAUAUAUAUCAUAAAAUAUAAAAGAAUUAUUUCCUCAGUGCACAUGAUUCUUGAAUGUCCUUUUAUUGAGGAAAGACAAUGGGGGUGGAGAAGGAAACCAGGAUUACUUCUUGAAUUCAAAGAUUACAUCAAGAUGUCUUCUUGCAAGUGUUGAACUUGCAGAAAUCAAGGAGUGUAUAUAAUUAAGAAGGACUUGACUGCUGUUAAGAUCUGCAGCCUUUUAACUCUUUUCUUUACAGUCUUUGCUGAGGAUUAAAAGCAUGAAAAAAAAAGGGAGAGACUUUAUUCUGACCCCCAUCUCAUGUAACUUCUGACUUCAAAGGCAAUUUGAUCUCCCUCUGCAGCAAACUACUACUUUAUGACACAAGCAACAGAAGUAAAUAACAAAGUUAAAAAGGAGGAGGAAAAGGGAACACUACAUUUAUUGGGAGCAAAAAGAACAACUUCACCAUAAAGCAACUGCAUCAAAAGGAAAGGAAACAACUUUUGAUUUCUCAAAGACAAAAUAUAAAUAAAUUGGUCUAUGCACUUAUGGUUACAAAAGUUUUAUAUAUACUUACAAAACUAAAACAAUUAUGAAUUUGCCUUUGUAGAUAGUCAUGUCAACUAAUUGACAUCAUCUAUGCACUCCUCAAGACUUUUCUGUGAUGACAAGAAUGUUAAAAGGUUUAGAUAUUUUGUGUUUUUGUCUUUCAAACUCAAACUAACUACUAUGAUAGUGAUUAACAUCUUAAUAUUUGAAGGGAUAAUUAUGCAUAAUUUUUUUUAGGACAAAUAUAUUAUUUCUGAACUUUGAAAAAGACAUGAGUAGAGGUGUAGAACCUCAAAAAAAUGAAAAUAGAAAGAAAAAAAAAAUCUAUGGCUGUUGUGAGAGAAUGAUAACUAUCUUCUCCACCAGAGGCUGGCAUUGGAUCUAAAAUUAAGCUUUUGAAAUGUCUCAACCCAUGAAACUAUAUUUUUUUUAGUACAUAAGUUGCUUACUUAAAAUUCAAUGUUAAUUACCUCAAAAUGACUAAUUACCUCAAAAUGUUAAUUACCUCAAAAUGACUUACUUAAAAUUCAAUGUUAAUUACCUCAAAAUGACUAAUUAUUUCUUUUAAAAAAAAGGACUAAUUAUUGUAGGAUAUAGUUUCACAAAUUAAAAAACAUUAUGGUAACCCGUUUACCCGUUACCCGUUUCCCUACCUCGUUCGCGUGUCAUCUGUGAGCAGCUCGAACGCACGAGGGCCGAGUUUUAUGCGCGGCGUGGCCGAGGAGCCAACGAGAGGUCCACGCAGCGUGGGAUCCACUUGCGGGCUCCAUCCGCGGGAAAUAAUAGCAAGGGGGAGAGGGGACAGAGAAGCGGGUCCCACGGAUAUAGGCCAUGGAGUACGCCGUGGUGGAGGCGGUGGGUGAACCCACGCCGAGUUUGAUGCUGACGUCAGGAUGAAGUUGGCGCGUUGAGAUUCGUACAAUCGUCUAAGAAGGGCUCAGAUGCGCCCGAUGGCCAAGUCAAGCAUAACCACGAGACAGUCUUAAUGACGUCUUAUUAAGGGAUAAUUAUUACAUUAUGAGUACAUGACAGCCUGCUCAGGAGAUGCUGACACAGCAUAGAAAUUAAGCUUAAUUUUUCUCUUUUUUUCCUCAUAUCUUUUUUCAAAAUAAUCGUUAUAUAUACCUCGGAAAUUGAAUAAUCGAAAACAUUGGAUCGACUACAUCAAAACUCUUGGUUCAUGAGUUUGGCAGUGUUCUUCCCCUGCUAAAAACUGUCGAUCCUCUAAUGGAAUAAAGUUAUACAAGUGGUGAAUUCUUCAAGAUGGAAAAGUAGAAGAGCCAUGAUCAUGGCAUGUCUUUUGAGCAAACAUGAUUCUGUCAUACUUGCACACACAACUUGAGCAGAUAGAAACCUCAAUUUAGCGACAGUAGCUAACUUAUAUGAUUUAGAACACUAUUAUUGAAAGCAACUCUCCAAAGAGAGAGUUCUCUAUCCUUCAAAGGCUCCAGAUUACAAAAAGAGAGAGUUCUUUAUCCUUUGCCUUUAUUUUUCUUUUAUGUCAUCACAUUCUUUUCCUUUGAUCACAUGUAGCUUCAGCUAUAGAAUUCAAUAGCAGCAAAAAGAGAGAUUAUUACCCAGCAAAAUGGGUUCCUUCAAUAUGGAAAGCUUCCUGUGAAUUUGAUAUGGUCGAGAGUACGUCUGAGACCAUACCGAUUGACUGCUCUGGUUGCUGCUCUAUAACCAGCUCCAUAUACCGGCGAAGCAUCCGCUUCUAUUUCGUGUUUGAAACACUCUCCCAGCUUUCUCUCGGACUGAGUUCGAGCACCUUUUUUCGACGGCCUGGUAGUCGAAGAGGAUGAUGAGGUGGAGGCAACAUUACUAGCUGAACCUGCAACAAUCUCAGAAUCCAACCACAUUUGAGCCAGCACCUGGCAGAUGCCUUCUUCAACUUCUAGACUGAGAGAUCCAUAUCCUGCAAACUCAGGAUGGAGUAACAUCAGGCGCUACAAUAAUAUCUAUCGAUAUAACCUCAUGAAUCACCCAAGAUUGACACUGGAGGUAGUAUGCAGCUAGUGAAGAUUGACGGAACAAGAAAACCAAGACAGAUCACAAAUAAUUUGUAAUGGCUACUGUUUCUCUAUCCUAAUUUUAGUAAUUCUGCUAUUGUGUAGAUAUUCAGAUGACAAUAAUAUAACAUAUAAUUGAAAAUGUUCUACAAAUGAUAAAGCAUUUAUCAUAAUUCAUAUCUGAUAAAUCUAUCAUUCUAUACCACUUUGGCAACUACGAGUUAAAUUGAACUUAAGGAUAUAAGUUGCAAAUAAUUUUAUCAAAUAUUAUUUAAUCUAAUUUAUACAAAAACAGUUCAUUAAUAAUAAAAUAAUAAUAUUAAUAAUUAUUCAAUAUUAAUUAGUAUAAAAAUACUCAAGAUGACUAUAAUCAUGAUAAAACAUAAAUCACGUAUUUAUGUAAAAACAAAUAUUAUUUCAUAAUUUUAAAUGUAUGCAUGUAAAUAAUUACACAAAUAUCCAAGAACAAAAAUUGGAAUUUAAAUAUCAUAAGCAAAAAUUUUACUAAUAUGUCAUAAAAGAAAACUACAAAAUAAAACCGUAAUUUAUAAGUUUUUUUUUAAUUCUGUAAAUGACAUAAAUGAGUCGAUGAAUCAUAUUUAAUUGGACAUCCCAAAAUUAAGUCAAAAUUGGACUGCUCAGAUUAGACCCAACAUCCAACCCAAUUAAACCAAUCAAAAUUGGGUUCAGUCAAAAAAAUCCAAUGUAGAAACUGAUUGAUAAAAAAUCAAGCUAAAAUUAGGCUUCGACCAAAAUUUGAUUAAAGUAGAUCAAAUUGGUCAAUUCUAUAAUUAAGGAUAUAAGUAAAAAAAAUUAUUUUCGAAGGGCAAAACUAUAAUUUGUUGGGAUAUAUAUUAAAAAUAUUUGAUUUUUGAAGGGUAGAACUGUCACGGGGACACUGACUAGAAUUAAAAAAAAUUCAAAAGAGUAAAAUAAUCUUUUAAUAGGUGAAAAAACUCGUAGCCUGGCCUGCGCAAGGCCUAUGACCGUCACGGUGCACAGUCGUCUACUGCUGCAUGCCACAUGCUUGAACACCUCCACGGUCAAUCGAUCUUUAAUGGCAACCAACGCUAUUCAGUGACGCAACGUAGCCGUUGCCCAUCGACCACCGUUCACAGCUAAUCCCUCAUCGACGUUCCAUUCCCACGCACGAAUAUCACCACCGCACGAGUCCUUAUUGGUCGUGCAUCCUUACAACGACAUCUUCUUCGCAGGGUCACCAUCCGUCGUUGCUACACAGCAUUUGGCCACCACGCAACCAUUGGGCGACCCACAUCAGUAGCGCCGGUGUUCACGCUCAACCAAUGGCCCCUACGUAGCCGCUAUGAACCCCGACCUUCAUCGUUGCCAAUGAUGCUGGCCGUAGCUAACAAACAUUGUCAUAGCUUCUGCCUUUCCCAACGACAUGUUUGCUAUGCAGUUAUCGAUUAAAGGCAGCGCCCAAUAGGGCUGCUGCCUUCUUGGACUACCUCACACAAUGGCACCACUACAUGUGUAGUGCCGCCUGCAGCUAAAUCCUACCCCCACAGGCAACAGCGAUGCCAACCAAGGCUGCUGUUGCCCACGGUGGCAACUGUCGCACGUAAUGGCAUCGUCGCAGCACUUCCACUGCCACGGCUGCUGCACAUAGUAGUUUCUGACUGCAGCAGUUGCCCAUCCAGUCUAUGGCCGACGACCAAUGGAGGUCGUCGCCCUUAAUAGUGCUAUCGCUGACAAGCUGCAACGACGAUUGACCGAUCAAACACGAGCAACAUGUCGUCCCUAGCUCUACCUGCGUAAGGCGAGGAACCUUGCAACGCCUGCAAGCAAGCGACAAGACGAACGAGAUAAGAAAGCGAAUCAAUAACACAGACGGAUCAUUCAAGCAUCGUACAAUCAAAAUUGAAUAGCACCUUUUCCGCAAGCGAAAGGUGCUAAUAAAUAGAUCUAAUAUACGUUUAUGAUCUAAGGUAUUUGAUUUCAAAACAACUUGCUUUGAUACCAAUUGUAAGAUAAAAAUUGUAAUCAUGCUUCUGUUAUGUGAAAAAAUUUUAAUAUGAAGAACUGAAAUCAAAUAACCAUAGAUCGAAAUUUAGAUGUACGUACAUUUCGAUGUCAUUCAGAAAACCUUUAUCUGAUCUGCAAACGCAUCAUCAUCCGAUCCAAAAGCUACAGUGAUUCCAAUUUGUAAGAACUAAACUCACCUUCUUCUUUCUUCCUAUUUUUUCACAAGAACACUAUAAGUGAUGCAAUAGAGAUUAAGGGGAGAUGAGAAAAGAUAUGUAAUCUCUCUUUUAUGUGUUGUCAUGUGUUGAGUCCCUAGAAGACCCUAUCUAUAUAUAGGCGAGAGCAAAGGGUCUAGGAUAAGUAAUUAGGAAAGUUCCUCUCAUCAAGGUCAUCUCCUAAGAAAUCCUAUUAUAAUUGGACUUCCUUUCUAUUAGCCGAUAACUGUAAUCAAAAUCCAAUGAGAUCUAUAAUAUAUCUUAUCUAAUUAAACAGGAUCAUAUAAUCUAACAAAUAAGCGUGUUAAGGCUAGCUUUUCAUUGGACAAGUAAGACUAGCAACCCACUGAUGAUGAAGUAUAAUCCUUUUGGUCAUUGUUUACAUAGCGUUGCUACAUUGUCCUAUUCUCGUGCUCCAUUAAUAUAUGGAAUCAUACUUACAAUGCUAGCAUGAGUUGCCAAAAUUAUAAAAAAAAGCAAACUGUACACAACAAAAACACAUCUGUGAGCAUAGAAUGAGUUGCAUACCAUUAAGGCGUAGCCAUGCAUGCAUCAUCUCAUGAGCCAAUAUCGACCCUGUUAGUAAUCUGCAAGAGAGAACUCAAAUAUUAAAGCAAAGUUUGCAUGGGAAGAUGCAAUAAUUUACUAGUUUUGCUAGUGUGAUACUAAAUAAAUAGAAACUUAACACCAUUUUUUCCAAGGAGAAUAUAUUUGACAAGAAUAUCUUUUUUUUGUCUUAGAAUCUGGAAAAAAGAAAAGAAUCAGAGUUGAAUGUGUAGCUAGGAUAAUUUAGCUGAAAAGUGACAGAAUCUUAAGAAAAUGCUAGCAGGGAAGGCAUCUAAGCUAACAAAAGUAGAUUGGAUAGUGGAAAAUAAAUCGAAAGAUACCUUGGUAGACCAUACAGUAUAAGAAUUGCUGUGACAUCACACCGUCUGAUCAAUCUAUAUGGCCCUGUUAUCAUAUCUGUAAGUCUGUGUCCAGACCCCAUUAUUGGCCUUCUCAAAACCUAAUGAUUGUAUUUUCACCAGUGAUUAUGACAUUCAAUAAAAAUAUUAACAUAAUUCACUCAUAAAACCACUAGCAAACUGAGAAUAACAGUUCUAAAACUGAGAACUCUUACAGUUCUAACAAUCUUCUCCUCAGAAAGACAGAGACCUCUAGUUUCAGGGAGGCGAUGAUGCCCCUGUCCUCAGAAGUAUAUGAAAAGACUGUUAUUACCAAAAUUCUAAAGGAACAAAGUGCAUGCUGUUUAACUCCAAAGUUUUAUUCUUUGACUUACAUUCAUUUCACCAUCCAUAGCUUCAUUUAGAGCUUGUCGCUCAACUAGAAGGAGCGGAAUCUGCUGUUCCACUUUCAUAUAUAAACCUUCAUAGAAUUCUUUUAUGCCGAGGUAAAGGGGUUGGCACUCACUUGUGUCCAUUAUUGCAAAAUUAAGACACUCAAGACAAAGCUUCCGACCAUCAUCCAAAGUAACAUAUUUCGUGUCCCUUGGCUGAAGCUCGGCAUAAGUAAAAGACAAAGAGAAAGAGCACAACUAAGCAUACAAUAUAAGGCACUUGAACAUAAAUAAACAAUAGCAGAAUCGACCUUGGUAGUCUUUUAAUAGUAUUAUGCUUCACGAUACAACUAAUUUUGGAUCGACAAUAACUAUUGUAAAAUGCAGAGAAAUUAUGGAGCGAGUAUCUUUUACCAACCUCCAUUCUUUCACAACUGCAGCACAUAGGAGUGCCAUCACGCUCAUGUAAAGGACAAUACCUUUGCCCCCAAAAAGGAUGAGCCCGGUAUUCGAUAUGGCCAUCUCUUAUCGCAGGGAUCUGCAGAAAAGGUCAUUAUGAUGUAUCCACAUUUCAGAGAUUCAGGGGAGAAGGUUCCAGUUAAGGACAUAAAUAACAUGAACAAAGUUAAACUGGUUGAAUUAUUUUAGGCUUGCAUAACAGUCAGGUGCUGACUUAUAUCAAAAAACUGUGUGUGGACUAUGUAGUAUGUACAAGUAUGAAACUUAGAACCCAAGAGUUGUAAUAUGUGAUUUUCACAAUUGUUAUGCUACCAUGACUACAGAUUACUUCUGUACAUGGAAAGAAGGUUAAAAAUAUUUCUGGUAUCGUCAAAUUGGUGUAAGCACAAAGCUUCAUAGAAGUGUCUAAAAUACUUGGUUAUAAAUGCCAUCUACCAAAAUCAGGGAGCAGGUAGCUAAUUAAUUUUUGUUAUUUUUUUCCUAAGAAAUCUAGCCACUUAAAAGAGAUGAAGGUUUUUCAAAGUAAUUUGAGGAGCCUUCGGUACCCUUAAGAAUUAAGAUAACAGUUUAUUUUCAUGAAAGCAAUAAAAAAUAGAACUAUAUAUACAUGCAAUGGAAAUCAUCCAUAUGCUUUACUCACCGGUCACGCCUUCAAGAAAUAAGCAGCCAAUAACUAAAAGGCCAACAAUAAACAAUAACAAAAGGGCGGGCCUUGGUACAAUGGUGAGAUUGUUUUGUUCCUUUGUUAGAGUGAGCCUUGGUACAAUCGUAAAGUUGCUUCUUUGCAACCUGGGAGACUAGUUUGAGAAAUAAGACUACUUACAUUGAUUCUCCCCGGAUCCUAUAUUGGCAGGAGCCUCAUGUAUUAGGUAUGCCAUACAAUAAAUAAAAACAACUCGCUUAUAGAACACUUGGAUAUUUUCAACUGCUUCUGCAUAUAUGUCUCUUAGAUGCAUACAUGAUCUCUCGUUUCUCAUAGUUGAAUAUAACCCCUAUUCCAUAUAGUUUUAUAGUGUUGUUCUUUCCAUGACAAUCAUCGCAAGUCAGUCGAAAUAUUAUAUGCAUCUAAUACGAUAGUUUUUUUUGUUAUUGUUUCAUAUAGAUAAAUUGCAUAUACUCACUAAGAGUGCUGUUUUCAGUAGAAAUAUAGAAAUAAAUACUUACAUACUGCUUGCAGACAGCACAUUUUGGGUGGUAGAGUUUCCUAUAGCAAGAUUUGUGAUAAGGACGAUUUUCGUACAAAGAUAACUGCAUCAGACAAGCCAAUGAGAUUUAACAGAACCCAAAAAUGACAACAAUGACAGUCAAUUCUUCACCUCAUAGUCAGUUAUUGGUUUAUUGCACCCAUGGCAACGGAGACACUCUGGAUGCCAUACAGCACCCAUGGUACUCAAAGAUUGACCACGACCAACUUCUUUAUUGCAUCCAGCACAUCUCCUAACCAGAUAUAAGAUCAAGGAAGUUAGUUAUGCAUCUUAAAAUAUAAAGUUACGAUUUCUCAAAAAAAUGAAGCACCUAGCUUUCCUCUACUGAUCUUAAGCUGCAGGAUCUGAUCCAGAAUGGAUGGAUACUGAGAACUGAAUACACAAUAGAUUAUUUAAGAGAAUAUUACAGAACCCUUAAAAUUUUUGCCUACAAUAUGAAGUUAAUUUCUUAAAAGAUGGUCAAGUUGGUGACAUAUGGGAUUGCAACAUGAUCAUACGACACUGGUAGUUUGUACUAAUGUUUACCCAUAUGACAAGUAAUUUGAGCUACAUGGGCUGCUGCCAGCCUGUAUAUUGUGUCUGCCACUGACAUAAAUGGUCUCACACUGCCAUUUCUUUAACAAUGUCUAAUGUCCAUGUCCAUGAAUUCAGAACAAUAAUGCAAUGUUGCAUAGUGCAGCAUGCUGCCUCAUGACUACACAUACUAUGGUGUGUCGAUCCUUGGUUCCUUGCAGCAGCUGUUUCUCUACACACCGUGGAGAGAAACCUUCAGGGAUUGCUUGCCAAGAGAUUAUGGAUGGGGAAGAAAAGGUUAACCCCCUAGGUAUUAGUUGUCUGAGACCACCUUAAACAGGAAUGUGGGAUCUUUCAAAUCAAACUGAUAAAGCAGAUAAUUUUCAAACUCUUAACAGAUGAUAUCUUCUAAUAAAGAACUUGAUCCAAAUACAGAUCUUGAUCUUUCCAAGGUUCAAAAUAAAUAGAAAGCCUAUCGCAGAUAUCUCAAAAACAAAAGCUUCCCUUCAAUUCUUCAAGACAAACUGAUAACUAAUGAUACCUGGUUGAACUCAUCAUUCUUUGUCAUGAUUUAUUAUGGAACUAAUGAUAACAUAAGAGAAAUGAAAUGAAAUGACAAAUAGGCAAAUAAUUCUAAAACAAGUACCUGGAGACUGAAGGAAAGGAAAAUGGAUUAGGUUGACAAAUUUGGCCAUUUUGACGGGGUGGAUAUUCAGCAUUCAAACUUUCUUGUAAAGCCUUUGCAAGCUGUUCGUCUUCCUCCAGAAGAGAUUUGUCUAAAGAAAAGAAACAUAUGAUGUUUUAAAGAAAAUAAUAUAAUUAUAAAAAGAAGAAAAAGAUUAUAUGAAGACCUGAGGCAACUUCCAUGUUCUGAAGCUAAGAGGGUUAUAAAGUGCACUAAGUCAUGCUAUUGGCAGAAAGGUAGGAAUGAAAGAGAUAUAACAUAAAGUAGAUCAUAGAGAAGAACCAUCUGAAUCCAUGAAGUGAGUUAAUCAGACAGCGAUGGUUGAAUAGGCUUUAUAAUAAAUUUAAUUACUAACAAAGAUGGUUUUCAGCAGAUCAGUUUGUGGAGACAAUAGUAAUGUAAACCAUAGGGUCCUAACUAGAGAAUACAUAAUUAAAGGCCUUCUGACAAGCAGAAAAUCCAUAUGGGAAUGUGAUAUACUAAGAUUACCAUGCAAGCUUGUUGAACAUAUUUUUUUGUUGCUAAGUUUCUCAAUUCCCUGACUGCCUCAGUAGCAUAUGCAUAAAUAUCUAAAAACAAAGACAUUGCAGAUGAGCUAAUUUUUUAGAAUGUUACAGUUAAGAUAGCGGCAGUUAUGUUUCUGAUGAAGUCCCACAACUGGAAGUUCCUUUUUACAAAAAACCAACAGUUGCUCCACAAAAGAAAAAGAAAGAAAGGUCCCUCGGUUGUAAACCAUAGUGGUUAAUAAAUUAUGAGCUUCACUGUUAUCACUUCUGUCACUGGCUAGCCAUCCUGUGCUCUUUGUUGACAAAAGGGCACUAAGUUUGAUAUUAUUCUUCUCAUUUCCUUCCUAUCCCCCAAGCAAAUCAUUUAUAUGUUAUUUCUUAUUUUCCACAGAGUUUGUCAUGUCUUCAACAUCUGGAUGUCAUUUCCCCUUUAUAAAUCAGUAAGUAGCAUAUCUGCUCUUCUCAAAGAUAAAAAUAAACAGAAAAAUGCUUUAAAAUGUUAAGUCUAGGAAAGUUCAAUAAAAUCCAAGAGCUUUUAUAAUGAUCAGAUCUUCAACAACAAUCUAGUUGUCUUUGCAUUACAUCCAUAAGCCAUUUGAAACAAUUAGCUCACACAAGAAAUGCAAAUGAACAGCUCAUUUUCUAUAGCAGUGCCAGAGUGCUAACCAACAGUUUUGCCUUUCUUCUGCUCUUCUUCUGAUAGUGAAAGUGCUAGAGCUUGAUCAAUGUCUUCGUCAUCAUACUCCCGCUGGAUACCCUAACAUCCAGAAUUUCCUGAGGUGUGAUUAGCAAUCAAAGAUACAGGAAUAGUAGCCUACUCAGAUUAUUUAGGCAUGGGGAUGUGGAAGAAAAUAAAUAUUAAGUACAUAAUAAAUGCACCGUGUAAGAUUGCAAUUACAACCUAGAUUAUUUAGAAACAAAUUUUGUCAUUGACAGCAUUAAAAAUUUUAUUCCAAAGAAAACAUUUAGAUUGCAUUAAAGAGAGAUCCUAUAGAGGACAAAGGCAGAAAGUUUUAGCAAAAGGGUUACCAAUGAACUAGAGGGUUUAUUCCAAAAGCCAUCAUCCGCAUGUCUUCCAUGGCACUGGCCAGCGGAAAAUUUCAAAUUUGAACCUUUAAAGAGUUUGUUUAACCAGAUCAUCGAGCCAGAUGUAAUUAUCGCUAGUAGAUUCUGCCUGCACAAAGUAUGCAAGACUUAGAAAACAAAAAAGUUAAAUCUAUACGCAAAAUGAUAAAUUAUCAUCAGAAUUUUGAUAUGUAGAACAUUUCCACAAAACAAAAAGGUUGAAUCUUCAGGUGAUAAAGGCCUUGAUUCAAACUCAUGUAUGCAUAAAACGAAAAACAGAAGAUCCUGAUUCAUAGUCACAUACCCAUAAGACAAAAAAGGGAACGUAAUAUAAGUUUACUACAGAAAAUUUCUCUGAGCAACAAGCCUCUCAUCUCUUAAAAUUAUGCCUAAUGGUAAGGAGCAAUGCUCGUUAGUUGCGGUAGGAGGACAAAAAUAUGCAAUAUUAUGCAAGAUGAAACCUUUAAACAUGCAGAACUAAGACCAACAACAACAAGAACAUACAAUCUGCAGCUGAUACUCCGAUACCAGCAGAGCAAAACACACACUGACCGGUUAAAGGUCUACUGAAAUCCACAAUAAUACGCGAGAAAUUUAGCUGAGGCUCACGACACCUUUGCAGUUCAAAGAAAAUGUCAACUUCUUAAUUGGCUAAAAACCCACAAUAAUACGCGAGAUAUCUAACUGAGGCUCACAAUACCUUUGCAGUUCAAAAACAAUGGCGACUUGUUAAUUGGCUAAAACCCCAAGAACUCAUUGUUCGUACAAUUCAUACCUCGGGAAGGGUUGCAAUUGAUGCCCAGAUCAAAUCAAUCCGGUAUCAUAUUCCCUUCUCCACAAGAGGGAACAAAAAGGAAUUGUUUUGUUCCAUUAGGUCAAGGUAAUUCUAAAAGAUCAAAAGAUGGUCGUGAACUUGAUUAUCUCAUCAGCGACCAAAGUCAAAAGAAAGACGAAUCUUUUUUUGUUUUUUCUCCUUCCUUUUCGUAUCACCAGAGUCAGAACCCAACACAAAAAGUGAUUUGCGAGGAAGACGACGUCGGACUCGGCAGUCCAAAGAGUCCAAAGAGAACUACUUUUCUACGGCUUUGAGCUUACCAGCUCCUCUGCCUGCGUCGACGGAGACAAAUGCCGCCACCUCCUAGGUUUUCUGGAGAGCGGAAUCGAGCUGGGAAAGUGAUUCUCGAGUAGCGAACUAGAGUGCGGCGUCUGCAAGGGAAGGAUCAAAAGGUGCGGUGGCCCCAAACACCCAUCUUUGAUUCUUUGCAGGAAGCAUAAAUGCUGCUGCUUCUGGAGGAAGCCUCGCCGUGCUGUGCGCAUCGCGUUCGCUGCCGGAAUCCGCUUGCACUUCACGCUGCACUCUUUAUAUGCCUGUGUGAUGAUGAAUAAGAAAAUUUACAAAUAGAUCCCUAAACUUCAAGUUUAUCCAAUUAAGACCCUAAACUUAAAUUACUUGAGUAAAAGAUUUUUUUCACUCAUAAUCUUGUUUAAGUAUAUCUCUUCUUCCUCCUCUCAUUCUCUAUGUGAUAAAAUGAUAUACCAAAUCUCCUAAAAUUUUAAUUGAAACAAUGAAAUAAGUUUAUAUUUUACCACAUGAAAAUUCUCUUAGGAUUUUUACAAAAUACAAAAAAAAAAGUGAAUAUAAUUAAUUGUCACUGGCAAGAAGACCUUUUCUAUGGUAUUAUGAAACACAUACAUGAAACUUGGAUAUCAAUACAAAACAAAAGCUUACUCCUAUAUAAAUCAUAUUCCAGGCUCACAUAUGAAGUCUCUCUUAGCAAUUGUUUGUUUUUCAUGUGAUAUUUGUGGCUAUAAUAGAUAGAUUUGGUCAUCUCACAUUAAGUUUGAAAUACUUUUAAGUAGGUUAAUAAGUGGUAAGUUGUGAAGUAUCAUAGCUAAUCCAUCCUGGGUUAAUCAGCAUGCAUAGUUAAUGAUGAAUAGUGUGAUUUGCUUAUCUUUGAAUCAAACAUUAGAAGUCGUGGGAAUUAUGCAAGUAUUUCUGCUGCAUGAAACCUCCAUUGUGAGAAGGAAUAUGCUUGAGAUUAAAGAUCAGAUUGCUGGGAUGCAGCCAUGUUGUAUUUGUUGACAUGAUACAAUCAUUUUGCUGCCAAUCCAGCUAUAUUAAACAUCAUUAUCACUUUAUAAGUCUUUCUGUAAAUUAUAGCUUUGUGUCAACAUAUUUUUCCUGACUCUACUCCACUAGUUUAUGUAAUCUUCCUUUCCAUUUCUCACCUCUUAUGUUUUUUCUUUGUUUGAAGGAAGUUGAGUUUCAUGAAUUCAGUAAAAAACUAAUAACUUUUUGAUCAAGUCUAAGUUCUUAUUUGCUAGUUUAUCUUUUUCUCUAUGAGAGCUCCUCAUUAUAUGUUUAAAUCAUCAUGUCUUAAUUACUUAAGAUCGACUAUAAACAUCUUUUCAAGUCAUUAAUUUCAUAUAAAAUAAUAUCUUUAGUUAAAUUAAUAAGAAGAUCAGAUGCUAGAAUACUUUUUGUGCCAUCAUUGCUGUGUUUUGCUUAUGGAAACUUGCUUUGGAGGCAGAUGAUGUCUGCUACAGUAGUCUGCAUCUGGGCAUCAGUUCAGUUCUGUGUGCUGCACAUCAUAGCCUAUCAUAUUUCAUUCUCAAGUAGAUGAUAGUGAACUGACACUACUGAAGAAUGGUGGAAUUGUUGUUGCUCUUUGAACAGGCAAAACAAAACUGUUCAAAAGAGAAUGAAAGGUAAUGCUUUCUUUGUGGAGGCUGUCUUUUUUUUGGGGAGGGGGAUGUUUCAUCACCCUGUUGAGAGUCUCCAGUAGAACACUAACUAUUAUAUCUUCUAAUCCAACUUAAUUUUAUGGCAAUAAUUUAAUAUAUCCACCGAAAUUAAAAAUGCAAGAAGAUUUGCAAUUGAAACUAUGUUUUAGGACAAGCAGAGAGAGAGGCUUUUAGAUCGAAAAACAUAUGUGAAACUCACAAAAAAUAAUUAUGAAAAAUAUUUAAAACAAUAAAUGUGUAUGUUAAAGAGGAAAAAUAUAUAUUGGGAGAAUAGAGAAGAAUAAUCAUGUUUCUUUGUGAUGCUUCAUCAUCUUGUGGCAAGCAUAGUGGCUCUGCAAUCCAAAAACAAAUGAGGAACUCAUUAGAAAAAUAUUUGAAACAUAGUGGUGUAAAUUAUCGAUAUUAAUAAAGGGUAUAAUAAAGGAUGAAUAUCUCUUGGAAGACAUACUAUAAAAUUAAAAUAAUACUUAAAGAAAUUAGCAUGGUCUUUGUGUAAAGGUGACAUACACAAAUUAAGAAAAGGUGCCAUUUUUUUUACUACUCUAUGAAAUACUUGUGUAAGUAGGUUUUAUGGUAAAUAUAGAGCUUUCCAAUUGAAAAAUAAAUGAGAAAUUUAUUAAAAAUAAUAUUUGAAAUAUAAUCUCAUAUCGAUGAAUAAUGGAAGGAUAUCGAUGUUAAUAAGUGUGCAUAUUAACAUCUCUUUGGAGGCAUCCAAUAAAAUUUGAUCAAUACAAAAGAGAUUAGCAUGGCCUCAUGACAACACACAAAUCGCGAAAUAAUCAAAAUAUUUUCUACUGCUAUAGAGAAUACUUGUUUGUAAGUAGGUUUAUUGACAAGCAUAAAUCUUCUCAAUUAAAUGAAAAAUAUGAUCUCACAAAGGCAUGCAUAGAGCUUGCUAAUUGAGAAACAAAUAAGACCUCUCACAAAAUUAUUAGAAAAAACAUCAGCAAUAUAGUCUCAAAUGGUUGAAAUAUAGUACUAUAUAGCAUUAUUAGAGAAAUUUUAAUUUUUUUUCUACUAUGCCGAAUAAUACCAUGGAGACAAAUAAUGCAAAGAUGUUGACACUUAACAAGUAUAAAGCUUUACAAUUGAAAAACAAAUGAGAAUUCAUAAAAAUAUUUAAAAAAAUUAAUAUAAUCCCAUAUUGAUGAAUGAUGAAACAAUGUUGACGUUAACAAGCAUGCAUGUUAAAAUAGUUCAAUCUCCCCUAUGCAAGAAUAACAUGCGAAAAUUGUGAAAUGGUUUAAUUUUUUUUACUACUCUGUGAAAUGGUUUAAAUUGUGAAAUGGAUGUUAACAUGCAAAGAUGUAUUUGAUAAGCUAAAAGGAGACAGCAUGAAGUAUAAGAGGUGGUCGUGCAUAGACCAUCCACAAAUGGCAUCCAUACAAAUGAUGCACAUGAGGAAUAAAGCAACACAUAGUAUGCACAAGGAUUCUCUUAUACAUAGCAAGAAAGUAAUAUCGCAGAAAGAAGCCAUUCUUUUCCACAACCAUUGAAAAUCCUGAAAGCCAUGCAGAAGGUUCACGGCACCAAAGAUUUGUAAUUACAGUAUGCAGACAAUCUCCGAGAGGUCCCAUUCAACUAAAAUCAAAACCCGAUGCAAAUUAACACUUUUGAAAUCAACUUGAUGAUAGAAAUAUUCAAAUAUCAUGUUUAAGUGCCAUGAAUGGAGAACAGUUCAAAACAACUGGCAUAUCAGAAUAGCAUGCAUGUGCACAUUCAGAUUCUGUGUCAUUUUUAGAUUUUGCACCAUUCUAAAGUAGGAAGACUUGAUUCAUACUCACAUAACAAAAGUUAGUUUGGUAAAGAAUAUUGGCAGAGUGAUAAAAAAGCAAUUAAUGCUUUAUCAUCUAUUACUUCCCAUUAAUCUAUAUUUAUCAAAGGACAUUUCACACUGAAAGAAACAAGAACACAUUUAGACUUGGCUAUCCAUGGACUAGAAAUACAAUAUAGUGAUACAUAAGAAAGCUAUAUCAAAUGUUAAAAGUUUCAUACAUGAAAUCAUGGGAGCCUGUACUCUUUGGGUUGCAGUUUUGCAGCUUUUUCUGUCUUCAUUUCAAAUGUUUCUUUUUGGCAAAGGAUGCUAAUAUUUGAACCCAUCACGGUUACAGAUGAUGCAGGAUACUUUAUAGCCUUCACUUGCUUGCUGGUGGUGUCAUUAGUCUGUAUUCUGCACGCAUUUGAAGGCCUAUGGAAGUUUCGAUAUACACUUAUUGAGACAAGAAAAAAAAACUAAAAAUUUCAUCUGCAUUGUAACAAAUUGUUCCCAGGAACAGAAUGUGAAUAAUGAUUUGUUAAAUUUAAUCUUCUCAUCUGUUACGACUCACAUCUAUAGUAUGUAUACAUUAUCUAAAUUUUGCAAUGACUUCAAAAACAUAUCAAUCAAGCUGGAAUAGAAUGUGCCAUGAUUUACUAUCUAUCACUUUACUCUAUCCAAGAAAAAAUAUAUACAAAAUAACAAAUAGGCAUUUAAACUGCAGCUAAGCAAGCAUUAAAAUCACGACACUUCAGUGGAUGAUGAAACUAAUCCAAAAGUAACAAAAGAAAUUCAAUUUUUUAUUCUGGCUGGAAAAGUUGGCCACUUCCAUGGGCAAGGCAAGCUCAUGAAUUUAGCUUUAAAACUAUGUUCAUCGUAUCCAAUCUCUUGAUGGAUUAUUUCCCAGAGAUUGUGUCUUAAAUCUUGGACAAUUCAAUCUCCGGGUUGGCCACCCAACAAGUCGACCUUUUUGAAAACAUCUCUGAAUCAUCUAAUAUCAUUAUAGAUCUGGCCUGCUGUUCGCACAUCUUAACACUUGCAUUUUCCAUUUACCAAUUCCCUUUUUCGUUAACUGGUAUGCACAGUCCCCAGAUUUCAUACAUUAUACCUACAUCAAACAGAAAUCUUAGUCUGAAACAUUACCUUCUUCUACCCUUCAUGCCCAAAUCAUGCAACAUUUACUUUCGUAUGAAUUUUUAUUUGUCUUGAAGAAAAUGUAAAAGAGACUUGCUAUUGAAUAUCAACACUUCUCAGCUGUUAAAAACACUCAAUCAGCAAUCUAUCUGCAUAUACCAAUAAUUAUAACAACUGCACCAGAUUACCUUCAAAUCCCAUACUGUCCAUUUUGGCACCAGCUAAUUUUGUCAGUUAGUGCUUUUAAAGAGGUGGAUUCUAUUUCGUCACAAUCAUCCAUCAUCAAAGUCACCAAUCACACUGCAGGAAUAAUCAAGGAUAAUUUAAUUUCUAGAUCAGACAAGCAAUAAGUUCUUUUAUUAAAUUUGAGUCAUGCCAGUGGACCACCAGUUCCUCAGGUACCAUGCUGCUCUGCUCAUGUGCACUAUCAUGACAAAUUGAGAAAAGCUCGAGAGACUGCAUUGCCAAACCAGAACUCGUGAGGGAACAUGCUUGUGCUGACAAAGCUGGCACAACAUGUCAUCUCAAUAAACUGUUACUUCAUGUGUUUUAGCACAGAUAAUAGUACCAUCAGCAGUAUAAUAUAUCCUAUUGGUUUGGAGACUGCAAAAAAUAUACAAUAAGGAUUCAAAUGGGUCUCCAAAUCACUUUUUUUAUAAGAGUUAUGCAUCUGCUAUGAGUCUUUUGCCUUUUUACCUAACGGUUGCUCCUCAAGAAUUAAUUUGUGUCUCAUAAAAGAAAACAUCCACCUUCAUAUCAACCAGAACUUCAAAUUUUUCUUUUUUAAUGUAGAUCUUCAAUUACUCUUGGGCAUAUUAUGCUAGUUUAAGUUCCAUUUUCAGGAAUCUGGCAUAUCAAAGGUACUGUGCAUCUAUAAAACUUAACUAGCAGGUUAAACAAUUUUAAUAGCCGAAUAAGCAAGGCACUUACAUUCAAUAGUUCUCUGCCACAGGUCUAGAAGGGAAAAGUCUUAGAAGAAAAGUCAUUAAAGACCACAGGCAAACAACACCAAGGAUUUGGAGAACGGCUAGCAUGGAAAUGAAUGCGCUACUUCUUUCCAUUACUGCAGUGUUCGUAGACGAUCCUCUCAUUAGAAACAAUAACCUUUCUAUAAAAUGUGCACCCUUGUUCAACUGAUACAGUCUAUAUACCUGCAAUAUAAAAUCAGUCCAAGUACUAGAAUUUGAAUCGGAAAAGGACUUCAAGACAGGAUCGUAACCGAUACCUCAAAGAUUAUUGGCAAUACAGGCCAACAAGAUGAAUUACGUCUGUCGAGGUGUGUCUCAAAUGCAUAUUGUGCAGCACAACCCAUCAGAAAUGGAGCAACGGCAACCACAGCAGGGAGACCAAUCACUGGCCAAACAACAUAGGCCGCAAGAAGAGGAGCAAACACCUUGAAACCCAUGGUGAAGAAAGCCGAGGACAGGUAGCCUCUGAGGCCGGUGAUAAGGCUCCAUCUUUUCGGGCUGAAGUCAAGAUAUGGGCGUUGUACAUGAUCAGUUACUGACAGAAAUGCAGCAAGCCCGACAUAGAAUAUGGCCUCUGAAGACAAUGAGGCGACAAUUUCUGCAAAAAAUAGUUAUAUUCUUCAGGAAAAAAUAACAAAAACAAAGUGGCCUUUAUACAUUAGGAAAGACUAAAAUUGACAUAGUUAAGCAUGAUUUUUUUUUUCUUGUUGAAAUAAUUCUAAUCUUAUUGGUUUCUAACGUUCAAUUUAAUUGAUACUUGUAACACUGCCCAAAGAAUUUAAUUGAUCAAGUAGUAAGUUCUUGAUAAGAACAACGAUAUGUACCUGCAAGGAUCUCAUCUCGUAGAACCGACUCGAUAACGUUGCCGAGAAAAAAUUGUGGAACCACGAGCGAAGAUAUCAGAGCUAGAGGACCUAAAAUCCACACGAGCGAUCCUGUGCUGUCCUUGAAGGGGGAAGAAACCAGCUUCCUCUCUUCCACCAUCUGGUGAGUCAAUCCGCAGAAAGACACAGAACCCGACUUCCCACGAAAGGGGUCAAAGCUGCCCCUCGCGUGAGACCCAGACCGGAGGACCGCGUCGAAAUCCCUCGCGCUAACCAAGGAUCCAACGUUCGAAUCAACACUGGACGGAUUCGCCUCUUUUACCGCGCCGUUGGAGUUCUCUGAAUCGGGCAAAUAGGCUAACACCUUGCCCGGCAGAAUCGAUCGACCUUUCAGAAAUCAACCGAAGCAACAUCGAGAUGUCAUUUUUCUUUGAGAUUCCGUCGACGGAGGAGAGAGAAUUUACCUGUGGAUGCGUUCCGGAAGCGGAAACUGCGGCCGUACCAUCGAAGGUUAACAGGAGGAAGCUGCAUCCAAAAAGUCCAAAAGGGUCAGGAGCAUGUGGGGUUAGGGUUUUAGGGGGGGGUUUUGGAUUCUCGGAGUCGCGAUGGGGGGACGAGAUCUUACGACGGCGGAAGGGCCGGAGAGGCUUCUGCGACGGGGGCAGGAGGGAGGAGUAGAGGAAGGAGGCGAGAGUUGGAGAAGGCGGCGGUGCACGCAGCAAACGGACUGUAGCCGCGUCGUCAUCUCCUCCGGAUGCGGUGGUCGCUGGGAAAUCCAAAAACCCACUGUGGCCUGCUACUGCUACUACACGAAACCCUCAUCGGAUAAAAUGUAACAUGAUUUUACAAUAUUAUAUUAUGUUAAUAUUAAUACUGUAUUUCUAAAAGUAUCGAAAAGAA